Molecule: long non-coding RNA, 750 nt
Filed under: Rattus norvegicus (Norway rat)
Lineage: Eukaryota; Metazoa; Chordata; Mammalia; Rodentia; Muridae
Description: long non-coding RNA NONRATT024808
Source: RNAcentral
CAGUCCGAAAUUUUUCGAGGAUGAUAGGGUCAAGGCAAGCUUUUCAGUAGACUCCCAGAAGUCCAAAACGGACCGCUGCUGCUUCCUACCUCUCCAGGAGGUCUCGUAGCCAGGAAAUACUCAGCCUCAAGUUUCGGAACAGACCAAGAUUUUCAGGUUUAUCAGAGCACAGGCUUCUGACGCCCAUCAUCAGGGCCGGUCCCCAUCAAAACCCCAACUAUUCCGUGUGACCUAAAUGAAGCCCCCUUCCUUCUUCCCUGGAAGUCCCCGACCCUGUGUGAGGAACGUAGGGUUACGCAGAACUAGGUUUCACCGAGGCGGCGGGAGAGUGGGGGAUGGGGGGAGGAGGAAGAAAGAGUGAAAAAGACUGACUUGGGCGUAUUGAGAUUGCACUUUCAGUUUACCUAGCCAGAUUGUUCGUGGGAGUUACCCCUGGAGCCGCAGAGAACAGCAGAAUUGACAGAAGGGGGGAGGGUAGACUGACAGACACAGGAAACCCCCUCUUUCUUCCCACUCCUUUGUCACCCACGGUGGCAAAUACUAGGGGACUGGCUGCAGAGAGCUUUGCUACUUGUCUGUUUGACCCUGUCAUCAUCAACUUGAGUAUGGGCACGGGAGUUUGGGGGGGGACACGCAGAGUUCAUGCUUCAGGUACAAAGCAAGUGUUCCUCCACAUGCCUGAUCACACCUCAGCUUUUUUCCAGCAGCGCCAAGUCCCUCAUCUUCUAAUCACCAACAUUUUUUUUUCCA